GCCCAGGUGGCGGAAUGGUAGACGCUGAGGACUUAAAAUCCUUUGUCCGAAAGGACGUGCGGGUUCGAGUCCCGCCUUGGGCA
RNAcentral lists this transfer RNA (83 nucleotides) under Puniceicoccales bacterium. RNAcentral describes it as "tRNA-Leu". It matches the Rfam family "tRNA". Rfam says of the family: Transfer RNA (tRNA) molecules are approximately 80 nucleotides in length. Their secondary structure includes four short double-helical elements and three loops (D, anti-codon, and T loops). Further hydrogen bonds mediate the characteristic L-shaped molecular structure. tRNAs have two regions of fundamental functional importance: the anti-codon, which is responsible for specific mRNA codon recognition, and the 3' end, to which the tRNAs corresponding amino acid is attached (by aminoacyl-tRNA synthetases). tRNAs cope with the degeneracy of the genetic code in two manners: having more than one tRNA (with a specific anti-codon) for a particular amino acid; and 'wobble' base-pairing, i.e. permitting non-standard base-pairing at the 3rd anti-codon position. The record is from RNAcentral. Lineage: Bacteria; Pseudomonadati; Verrucomicrobiota; Opitutia; Puniceicoccales.